This 222-nucleotide long non-coding RNA is filed under the name Sorghum bicolor (sorghum). Its description in RNAcentral is "long non-coding RNA (SBIC_LNC011747)". Lineage: Eukaryota; Viridiplantae; Streptophyta; Magnoliopsida; Poales; Poaceae. The record is from RNAcentral.
AAAAGAUUAAGUGGUGUAGUGGUAAGUUAGUUUCACUUGAAAUCUCAAGUCACGAGUUCAAAUCUCAACUACAACAAAUAUAAGAUUGUUUUUCUUUUUUCCAUACAUAUCCUUGAGGGUUAUCGGCACUCAAGAAAAUAUCUAUUAUUCUUGGGUGUUUUUAUAUUUUAUUGGGUGCCAUCGGCACUCAAGGAAACCUUGACACUCAAGAAAACCUAUAUC